Long non-coding RNA from Gavialis gangeticus (Gharial), 221 nucleotides. RefSeq lists it as uncharacterized. The record is from RefSeq and is a predicted model, not a curated record. The transcript is spliced from 3 exons. NCBI's taxonomy places the organism in Eukaryota, Metazoa, Chordata, Crocodylia, Gavialidae.
AUCUGUAGUACGGGUACCACCAGUGGUACGCAGACAACCUGUCAGUGGUGUGCAUUAACAGAUUUAUUAUCAUUACUUUAUAUGGCAAAAAUUUGCUGGUGUUACUUAAGGUUGAACUGAAAAAUUUGCUGGUGGUACUUAAGGUUGUAUCAUUUUAAAUUGGUGGUGCACAAUUUGUCAGUUUGGGAACCGGUGGCAUAGACUGAAAGUCAGCAAAUGGU